RNAcentral lists this ribosomal RNA (804 nucleotides) under Fructilactobacillus sanfranciscensis. RNAcentral's name for it is "bacterial SSU rRNA". It matches the Rfam family "Bacterial small subunit ribosomal RNA", at positions 28 to 787 of the family's 1533-position model. Lineage: Bacteria; Bacillati; Bacillota; Bacilli; Lactobacillales; Lactobacillaceae. The record is from RNAcentral.
GACGAACGUUGGCGGCGUGCCUAAUACAUGCAAGUCGAACGAAGUCGCCCAAUUGAUUCUUAGUGCUUGCAYUAAGAUGAUUUUGGAUCCGACUGAGUGGCGAACUGGUGAGUAACACGUGGGUAACCUGCCCAGAAGAAGGGGAUAACACCUGGAAACAGAUGCUAAUACCGUAUAACAACAAGAACCRCAUGGUUCUUGUUUGAAAGCUGGCCUUUGUGCUAGUGCUUCUGGAUGGACCCGCGGCGUAUUAGCUAGUUGGUGAGAUAAUAGCUCACCAAGGCAAUGAUACGUAGCAGACCUGAGAGGGUAAUCUGCCACAAUGGGACUGAGACACGGCCCAUACUCCUACGGGAGGCAGCAGUAGGGAAUCUUCCACAAUGGACGAAAGUCUGAUGGAGCAACGCCGCGUGAGUGAAGAAGGGUUUCGGCUCGUAAAACUCUGUUGUUAGAGAAGAACAGCCGUGAGAGCAACUGCUCACGGUAUGACGGUAUCUAACCAGAAAGUCACGGCUAACUACGUGCCAGCAGCCGCGGUAAUACGUAGGUGGCAAACGUUGUCCGGAUUUAUUGGGCGUAAAGGGAGCGCAGGCGGUUUAUUAAGUCUGAUGUGAAAGCCUUCGGCUUAACCGGAGAAGUGCAUCGGAAACUGAUAAACUUGAGUGCAGAAAAGGAUAGUGGAACUUCAUGUGUAGCGGUGAAAUGCGUAGAUAUAUGAAGGAACACCAGUGGCGAAGGCGGCUAUCUGGUCUGUAACUGACGCUGAGGCUCGAAAGCAUGGGUAGCAAACAGGAUUAGAUACCC